Acanthosepion pharaonis is the source of this 103-nucleotide non-coding RNA. NCBI's taxonomy places the organism in Eukaryota, Metazoa, Mollusca, Cephalopoda, Sepiida, Sepiidae. The record is from the annotation of a GenBank genome assembly.
CGACCAAAUCACAUUGACACACCAGUUCCCGUACGAACACCGAAGUUGAGCAACGUCGAGCCUGGUCAGUACCUAGAUGGGUAACCGUUUGGGAAUACCAGGU